This 401-nucleotide long non-coding RNA is filed under the name Anas platyrhynchos platyrhynchos (common mallard). Its description in RNAcentral is "lncRNA (ENSAPLG00000026120.1)". Lineage: Eukaryota; Metazoa; Chordata; Aves; Anseriformes; Anatidae. The record is from RNAcentral.
UCACUACUGCUUGCCUGGGGAAUCCCUGUGCCUUCUCUCCAGGUAACAGCCAGGCUCCAGUCCUGUACCUCAAUGCUUCCAGUGCCCAGGAGGGGGAAAUAGUGUUGCUUCGAUGUAGCAUUGAUGAGCAGUUUCCUGCUACGCGAGUUGUCUUCUGCAAGAAUGGGCAGGAGGAGUUCAGCCUGAAAGCCCAGCAGGGCAGGCUCAUCUACACUAUGGACCUGAACAUCACCUCCAGAAGUGCUGGGACGUACAAGUGUGGGUACCAGCAAAAGAACAAGGAAAACUGGGUGAGGAACUCUGCUCUCAGUGCUCCCCAGACCUUGUCUGUGGCAGGUGCAGGUGCUGGUGAGACCACCACUGAUAUCCAGAGCUCCACAGCCUCUGUCCCCCAGCUCCAC